AGGAGUUGCUCUGCCUUGCUCGCUUGACCGCAGGCUAGGUGGGGAGGAGAGACCGGUUCUCGGGUCUCCCGGCUUCGGCCGGCUCGCCUUUUCGGCGGGCGGGUUGAGGUCGGGUGAGCCUUGCGGCCUGAGCUCGUCUGCUCGGUGCCGAUGACGCCAUGUCCGGCCUGGUCGGAGCCCUCGGCUCUCCAGGCUCGCUGGCGGCCCUUGGUGGGAUGGUGAUGAUGAUGAUUCUUCGUCGUCGUUUUCUGCGUCCUGCCUCGGGUUUGAAUGUGCACCUGCCCCCCCCCAGUGGAGGGUUGUGAGAAGGAAAAGGUGAUGGAGUUUCUUAGCUGUGGUGCUUGGUGGUGAGGUGGAUGGGUGGCCUGGCUGGCUUCGUCGCCGGUUGGGGCUGCCCGUCCGCCUCCCCCUUUGCUCCUGAACAAAGAAAAUAUCACACCGUACAGUGGAUCACUUGGCUCGGGGGUCGAUGAAGAACGCAGCUAGCUGCGAGUCGGAAUGUGAACUGCAGGACAUAUGGAGCAUCGACACUUUGAACGCACAUUGCGGACAUGGGCUUGUCCCCUGUCCAUGUCUGGCUCAGGGUCGGCUUUACAUCCAUCCAGCUUGAUUGCUGGCUUUGGGGUUUGUCUCCUCGGCUCGGCUUAGCUUCGAUGCUGAGGAGUCCCCCUAAGAUGCGCCGCCUGCCUAGCCGGAGGUGAGCUCCUUGCUGACUCUUGGGUGUGACUCUGCGUCUGCCUGGGUUGGCGAACUGAAGGGGGCUCGCUUCUGGUGGCGGGCUUGCGGGAGGGGGGGUUUUCUGGUUCCCCCGCCCGAACUGGGCUGCGAUGGACGGCUGGCCUUCCGAAAGGAGGGCUGGCCGCCCUUCGCCGCCUUGCUGUUU
RNAcentral lists this ribosomal RNA (883 nucleotides) under Sinergasilus major. Its description in RNAcentral is "eukaryotic LSU rRNA". The stretch from base 435 to 588 matches the Rfam family "5.8S ribosomal RNA". Lineage: Eukaryota; Metazoa; Arthropoda; Copepoda; Poecilostomatoida; Ergasilidae. The record is from RNAcentral.